CAUGUAGGCGGCAUGACAAGUCUGGUGUGAAAUAUCUCGGCUCAACCGAGAAAACGCACUGGAAACUGUCAAGCUUGAGUAUCGGAGGGGAAGCUAGAAUUCCUGGUGUAGGGGUGAAAUCUGUAGAUAUCAGGAAGAAUACCGGUGGCGAAGGCGAGCUUCUGGCCAGAUACUGACGCUGAGAUGCGAAAACGUGGGGAGCGAACAGGAUUAGAUACCCUGGUAGUCC
RNAcentral lists this ribosomal RNA (229 nucleotides) under uncultured bacterium. RNAcentral's name for it is "partial 16S ribosomal RNA". It matches the Rfam family "Bacterial small subunit ribosomal RNA", at positions 568 to 796 of the family's 1533-position model. The record is from RNAcentral.